AUUUUUUUCAAUAAAAUGUGGAAAAAAACCAACGCAAUGAAUGACCAUCUGAUUUGGACCAAUGUACAAGCUGUUGCUCUCACCCAAAACAAAUAAAAUGGCCCGAUAACACUUGUGUUGUUCAACUUCGGUUGACCAGAGCCAGAGGAAAAGAUGCAUAUGAAAGAACUUGUUUUCGGUCUCAUAUUACUGAUGCAAGCAUGUGAACCGAUAUUGGCCCAGACACCCGCCCCGAUACAACCCGAGCCUCCAGGAAUACUACAGAGGCUAGCAGAGAAAACCAGGUA
Long non-coding RNA from Etheostoma cragini (Arkansas darter), 287 nucleotides. RefSeq lists it as uncharacterized. The record is from RefSeq and is a predicted model, not a curated record. The transcript has 3 exons. NCBI's taxonomy places the organism in Eukaryota, Metazoa, Chordata, Actinopteri, Perciformes, Percidae.